AGACGGGGCCCGCACAAGCGGCGGAGCAUGCGGAUUAAUUCGAUGCAACGCGAAGAACCUUACCAAGGCUUGACAUACACCGGUAACGCCCAGAGAUGGGUGCCCCUUUGUGGUCGGUGUACAGGUGGUGCAUGGUUGUCGUCAGCUCGUGUCGUGAGAUGUUGGGUUAAGUCCCGCAACGAGCGCAACCCUCGUCCUAUGUUGCCAGCGGGUCAUGCCGGGGACUCAUGGGAGACUGCCGGGGUCAACUCGGAGGAAGGUGGGAUGACGUCAAAUCAUCAUGCCCCUUAUGUCUUGGGCUUCACGCAUGCUACAAUGGCCGGUACAAAGGGCUGCGAUACCGCGAGGUGGAGCGAAUCCCAGAAAGCCGGUCUCAGUUCGGAUUGGAGUCUGCAACUCGACUCCAUGAAGUUGGAAUCGCUAGUAAUCGCGGAUCAGCAUGCCGCGGUGAAUACGUUCCCGGGCCUU
RNAcentral lists this ribosomal RNA (468 nucleotides) under uncultured Cellulosimicrobium sp. RNAcentral describes it as "bacterial SSU rRNA". It matches the Rfam family "Bacterial small subunit ribosomal RNA", at positions 916 to 1381 of the family's 1533-position model. Lineage: Bacteria; Bacillati; Actinomycetota; Actinomycetes; Micrococcales; Promicromonosporaceae. The record is from RNAcentral.